GCCCGUAUCAUGUGGAUGCUGCGCUUCUAUCAACUAUUACACGUAGCACCACAUGAUUCGGCUU
Molecule: microRNA precursor, 64 nt
Filed under: Bactrocera dorsalis (oriental fruit fly)
Lineage: Eukaryota; Metazoa; Arthropoda; Insecta; Diptera; Tephritidae
Description: microRNA bdo-mir-995 precursor
Gene: bdo-mir-995
Source: miRBase by way of RNAcentral